CUGGGGUGCACGGUGGGGAAAUGGGGGGAUCCAGCAGAAAAGAGCAUCGCCCUGCCCUGCAGGGAGCUCUGGGCUGUGGGUUUGGCUGCAGGGACGGGAUGCAUGGCUCCAGACCCAGCAGCCCCCCCCUUCCCAGCUCCAUCCUCUUGCCCAGUGCCACGCUGCAGUGGGGACACUGCUUUGCCCGGGAGCUGUCACCCAGAGCCUUCCCGCACCUCUGCAGUGAAGGGGGGCCAUGGUGCUCGCUUCCAGCUCGGCGGCGAGGUUGCCACGGAAACUGAUACUGUUGAUUUUUAUAAACCCAGCUGGUGACAUCGGUGCUGCCUUCUGCCCUGGGAGUCAUUCCCCAGAAGCGGCAGGUGUGGGGCAGAUGUGGGGCAGCUAUUUCUCCCCCUCGCCAUACGCCCCGCUGCUGCCCACCGCUGUGUGGAGGCUACCCCAGCCCUUUUUGCAGCCUUCCCAGGGAUGUUCAAGGGACACUUUAGUAGGACAUCAGAUGGCACCUGCACUCCUCCCCAUCAGAAACACCCCCUUGGCAAACACCACCUCCAGCUCUCCCCUCUCCAUGUCACCAACCCAAUGUUGCCUGGGCAGGAGGGACAGCAGAGGAGAUCCGAUGCCCACGAGCACCCUUCUGGAAGAGGGUCAAGCAGAGACCGAGGACUGUGCAGCUGAAUUCAGUGCUGGACAAGGGACCCCUCCACAACAGGACCCCCCUUCCCUGUGCUAACAAAGUUCCCACAAUGUCACCUCAAACUGCCAACAGAAGAAAAAGCAUAAUGAGAAUAUACACAUGCCACAUUGCUAUUCUAGGGAUGUGUUAAAAUAAGAAUAUUCAUGGGAAAUCAUUUGUUUAUCCAAGUAGCCUUGAGCAUUCAUCAGUGAAGAAAUGAACCUGUAGUAGCCAUGAGUCAAUAUUUGUCCAAUAUUAGAGGAGAGGAAGUGGUCAUUUUUGGGCAUUAAAACAGUCAUCAUGCUUUGAAUUCAGAGAAAUCUGUGUGGUUCCCUGCUGUGGUUUAAAAAAAAAACAAAACACCCCAAUCUUUGUAAAUACUGAAUGUCACAUCAAGGACAGAGGGCGCAGGAGCUAAGAGGCUAUUCUCGUUGUGUUUACACACUGAGCAUUUUCAUGCUAAAUUGGCUUUGGGAUGCAGGUGCCAGAUGAAAAUCACCCUGGCCAUGUGAUGCUAAUUGCUUACGCAGAGCAGAAGCACACUGCUGGUUUAAAUUCACUCUGAAGACGUGGAUGGGUUAGCUCCGUGCCGGGCCAGGCGCCGUGUCCACACCAGCGUGCUCUUUAAGCCCCCAGCCAGCUCACAGCCUCCUCCACCAGCCCCUUCUCACCCGCUGGGUGCACCACACCUGAUGGCUCCAUCCUCCGUAGGCAUAGACUUGGCACCCUGUGCUGGGGCUUUCUCAAGUGCUUGCAGGAGCUCGGCUUUUUUUGUCUUGUUACAGGUCUUUGCAGCAGGCUCGGUCUUGCACCAGGUCUCUGCACACAACGACUUUGCACUGGCUGCUCACGGCGGGGUUAGCACUUUCUGCCUUGCACUGUGCUGUCACCAGACCCCAUCGCGCGUUAUCCGCAGCAACAGCAAGGCACUGGCAGCAGAGCCAGGCUUCCUCAGAGCAGUUUUUCUUGCCUAAAAAGCAUUGGCAGCUCUGUGCAAAGCCUCGCAGCUGAGGAGAUGGGCACACAUCACCGCCCAGAGAGCUAUUUUGCAGUGGCAAGGGCAGGGAGAGGAGCGCGCAGUGAUGAGCAGGUCUUAUGCAAACAGCUGUAAAGGGGCUGCACCGCAGCUGCCGUGUGCCGGAGCCAGGUGGUGAGAGCACAGAAGGGCACCAGGAAAUAGCUGCGAGUGCUGCAGAACCCAGCACUCCUGCUGGGAAGCCUCUCCAGCUGCCAGCGCCGCUGCCUCUGCCCUGCAUCCGCAGCCCCUUUUUCCCCACACCUGGCCCACCCUGCCUGCCACGCUCAGCUGAUGGGCACCACGGUGACCCCAGGACCUUGCACAGCACCAGGAUGCUGCCCACACCUGUCCCCUCCCUUUGCUGCCUCAGCUUUGCUGUUCCCAUUUUCUGGGCUUGCACUUCAUGACCAAGCAGGACUUGGCUCUCAAGAAACCUUUGCAUUAGAAAGCUUCAUCAACAAAGGGGCUGCAGGUCAAUGUCCUGAGCAGAAAAUGUGCAGAAUAGCUUUAUUGUUUCCCCCCAUUAUUGCACAAUGACAAUUUGUAUCUAGGUGGAAGAUAAAACAGCGUUGCUAAGUGUUUCAGGUUUUCCUUUUUAAUUUUUUUUGCAUGAUCUUUGCUUAAAUCUGAGGUCACUCGGCUCCUCUUUGAGGUACCUUAAAUUCCUUCUGCUUCCUCUGUCCACAGAGAAAGCUAAGAAAACAAGGAAGAUCCCCACCUACAGAGGGAAACAGCCCUUUUCACCUCCCCUGCCAUGCAGCAGCAAUUCUUGGGUGUACAGCAUCGCACCCAUGGGUGCUCAAUGGGUGCAAAUGCUUUCAGGAGCCAGAGCUGCAUCUCUGCACUGAAGGCACUGGGGUGAAAACGCAGCGUGGAGCACACAAAGCAUCAUGUCUGGCUGGGGAUGGGGUGCACACAGCUGAUCCCUGCUGGGCAGGGGGUGCACACAGAACCCCUGGUACCUGCGGGGUGUUGAGGAGGCAACGCUGAUCAAAUCAUUGCCAUUUCCCAAUUAGCAGGAACAAGCUGCCAUGCCAGUCUGGAAAAGCAGCAGAGAUGGGGGUGCCCAAGUCCAAAACGUGGAGCAGCUCCUGCUUGGUGCAAAAAGGCAAAAGCAGCCUUAUUCUUAGCAUAUUCUUCCCCUUGCCACCCAAAAGCAGCAGAUCCACGCACUCAGUCAGUCGUUUCACCACUGGGUGUUUGCCGCAGCACAUGGCGCUCUGCAUCUAGCAACAACUGCCAGCAAAAACACAGCGUGCUGCUGCUCCCCCCACUCCCGCUGUGACCCCACAGCCGCAGCUCACGCCGACACAAAUCCCUUUCAGGAGGUGACCCAGCAGCAGCACCCGGCCAAGGCAGCACCACGCAGGGGAGCACAGCUCCGGCAGAUUGAUGGAGAAACUAUUAGAGGCACAGAGACCUGCUGGGUCACACUGGGAGCUGCAGGUAAUAUGAUUUUUUUUCCCUUCCAUCUCAUAUUCCUGAUAGUUUUCUUGCUGUUUUUGAGCUCUUGCUAUACAGUCUGUGUUCCAGCUCCCAUUUUCUUCCUCCCUGCCCCAUCCUGGGGAAGGAAGCACUGUGGGCAGAGGUGUGUGCAUGGGAAGAGCCGCCCUGAUCCAGGCUGGGCACGCUGCAUCCCGCUGUCCCGGCUGGCUGCACGCCGUGCCUCCAGGCACCAGCCUCCCUUCUCGGCUGCAGCCGAGCGGUUCUCUCUCUCUCAGACUGGGCUGGAGGCUCCAAUUCUCUUAUCUACCACAAUUAUCCCGGCAGACCCGAUUCAUCUCCAUCGCCUUCAGUUCUGGUUCCUCCGGGAGCAGUAUCAGGGAUAGCCGGUGACAAACAGCCUCCUUAAGGCAAAGGAUGAUUUUGAACAAAAAUAGAGUAGUGCUUAGAAGAAACAAUCCAAAAAAAAAAAAAAAAAAAAAGAAAAGAAAAGAAAAAAAAAGAAAAAGAAACACACACACAAAAACACCACCAGCUUCUCCCCCUCUGCAUCCUGAAGCACAAAGCCAGGAACCAAUCUCCCUACUGUGCCCCCUGUAAAAUGCAGCACUGCAUCCUGCAGUGACCAAGGGCAGCCACAUCCAGCAGCAAGCACCUUGGCACCAAAGGGCAUGGGGGCUGACUCCAGGCAUUUCAUCCUUCACCAGGAAGCUGCCACUCCUGAUGAGCAGAUCAGGCUGAUACUUUGCAAUUAUACGGAGGAAAACAUGCACAGACCCAUCAGACUCCUCCUCAGCAGCACGUCUGAUACUGAAGUCAAUGGGAGCUGCAUUGACUUUGCCAGCCCAUGGUCAGGUCCUGAAGCUGCCAGCAUUUACUGCUCAAGAGCCUGUUCCUUGCAGGGUCAGUGACUGCCUUGCUAAAGUUCCCCUCCGUGGUUCCUCAGAGCCUGUCUGCUACCUCCUGCUUCUCCAUCCCAAUUCUGUAUUAGAGAGGCUCUCUGGACCCAACUGAAAUAUAAUAAUUCAAUAAUAUGCAACAUUACACAUAGGUUUCGUUCAUUUUCACACUCACAGGAUCUGUAAAAUCUAAAAUAAGGCAUCGUCUUCAAACUGUCAUCCUGCCCAGCAACAACAAAUUUAAACAAAAAGGUAAAAUAUUUUAAAUCAAAACCUGUGAAUUACUUCAAACAAUCGUAUUCAGCUUAUUAUUCACAUUUCAGGGUACGGUUCCUGCAGUAAAUUAAUACAACAUAAGCUUGCAAUAUUUCCGAUAGGCUGAUAUGGCAGCAUUUCUCAUUUCAAUUAGGAAGAAUAGUGCAAUUAGAUUCCUCGGCUUUGUCUGGAAAGGAAGCGUGUUAUUUCCUUGGGGUGAAGAUCUUACCAGCACUCACAUCCUUGGGAUCUUCUGCCAGGUUAGCCCUUAAGCAAACUGAUUGCCAGUGGAAGUUGGGGAAAGGAUUUAUUAAUGUUUUCUCCAAAUAAUCCCCUCUACCCCAGAAGGGAGAAGGGAAUCAGACUUGUCUCAGCACCGUUAUUCUUCAUUUCCCAGCUUGCUGAGUUCCUCCUUACAGGUCUGGUCCAGGCCCAAGGAAGGUGGAGGACACACCACUGCACCUCCUCUGUGCAUUAACCACCAAACUGUGAAGGGAUUCUUCACCAAAAUUUGGCAUCCAAAUGUCACAGGACCACCAGUGGUGCAGUCCCUUCAAGGGAAAAGCAAGGUCAAGAAAAAAAAAUAAAAUAUUUUUUUCUUAAAAGAAUCCUCA
Molecule: long non-coding RNA, 4902 nt
Filed under: Anas platyrhynchos platyrhynchos (common mallard)
Lineage: Eukaryota; Metazoa; Chordata; Aves; Anseriformes; Anatidae
Description: lncRNA (ENSAPLG00000022190.1)
Source: RNAcentral